This 88-nucleotide transfer RNA is filed under the name Prevotella sp. RNAcentral describes it as "tRNA-OTHER". It matches the Rfam family "tRNA". Rfam says of the family: Transfer RNA (tRNA) molecules are approximately 80 nucleotides in length. Their secondary structure includes four short double-helical elements and three loops (D, anti-codon, and T loops). Lineage: Bacteria; Pseudomonadati; Bacteroidota; Bacteroidia; Bacteroidales; Prevotellaceae. The record is from RNAcentral.
AGGCGUGUAGCUCAACGGCAGAGCACAGUCCCAGCCCCGACGGAGGGGUGGCGGGACGAAAGAGCCGGUUCGACUCCGGCCACGCCUG